AUGGCAAAAGCUAUACCAAAAAUUGGUUCACGUAAGAAAGUGUGUAUUGGUUUACGUAGGAAUGCAUGUUUUAGUUUACGAGGGAGUUACUGUCUAUCGUUGGCCUUUAUGGUAGAACUCGUCGGGGAGGCCUGA
Molecule: ribosomal RNA, 135 nt
Filed under: Triticum aestivum (bread wheat)
Lineage: Eukaryota; Viridiplantae; Streptophyta; Magnoliopsida; Poales; Poaceae
Description: partial small subunit ribosomal RNA
Source: RNAcentral